Molecule: ribosomal RNA, 466 nt
Filed under: uncultured Pelotomaculum sp.
Lineage: Bacteria; Bacillati; Bacillota; Clostridia; Eubacteriales; Desulfotomaculaceae
Description: bacterial SSU rRNA
Rfam family: Bacterial small subunit ribosomal RNA
Source: RNAcentral
CCCGCACAAGCGGUGGAGCAUGUGGUUUAAUUCGACGCAACGCGAAGAACCUUACCAGGGCUUGACAUCCCCUGACCGCGUAUGAAAGUACGUUUUCACCCUCGGGUGACAGGGAGACAGGUGGUGCAUGGUUGUCGUCAGCUCGUGUCGUGAGAUGUUGGGUUAAGUCCCGCAACGAGCGCAACCCCUACGUUUAGUUGCUAACGCGUGAAGGCGAGCACUCUAGACGAACUGCCGUUGACAAAACGGAGGAAGGUGGGGAUGACGUCAAAUCAUCAUGCCUCUUAUGACCUGGGCUACACACGUGCUACAAUGGGCGGUACAAAGGGUCGCGAACCCGCGAGGGGGAGCCAAUCCCAAAAAGCCGCUCUCAGUUCGGAUUGCAGGCUGCAACUCGCCUGCAUGAAGCCGGAAUCGCUAGUAAUCGCGGAUCAGCAUGCCCGCGGUCGAAUACGUUCCGGGCCUU